CCCGCUGAACUUAAGCAUAUCAAUAAGCGGAGGAAAAGAAACCAACAGGGAUUGCCUCAGUAACGGCGAGUGAAGCGGCAACAGCUCAAAUUUGAAAUCUGGCCUCGCGUCCCGAGUUGUAGUUUGUAGAGGAUGCUUCUAGCAUGGUCUGGCCUAAGUUCCUUGGAACAGGACGUCGUAGAGGGUGAGAAUCCCGUAUGCGGCCAGGUGCCUUCGCUCAUGUGAAGCUCCUUCGACGAGUCGAGUUGUUUGGGAAUGCAGCUCAAAAUGGGUGGUAAAUUUCAUCUAAAGCUAAAUAUUGGCCAGAGACCGAUAGCGCACAAGUAGAGUGAUCGAAAGAUGAAAAGCACUUUGGAAAGAGAGUUAAACAGUACGUGAAAUUGUUGAAAGGGAAGCGCUUGCAACCAGACUUGCGCGCGGCCGAUCAUCCGGUGUUCUCCCCGGUGCACUCGGUCGUGCUCAGGCCAGCAUCGGUUUCGGUGGUUGGAUAAAGGCCCUAGGAAUGUAGCUUCUCUCGGGGAGUGUUAUAGCCUAGGGUGCAAUGCAGCCUACCGGGACCGAGGACCGCGCUUCGGCUAGGAUGCUGGCGUAAUGGUUGUAAGCGACCCGUCUUGAAACACGG
RNAcentral lists this ribosomal RNA (622 nucleotides) under uncultured fungus. RNAcentral describes it as "eukaryotic LSU rRNA". It matches the Rfam family "Eukaryotic large subunit ribosomal RNA", at positions 24 to 664 of the family's 3401-position model. The record is from RNAcentral. Lineage: Eukaryota; Fungi.